Astyanax mexicanus (Mexican tetra) is the source of this 469-nucleotide long non-coding RNA. RefSeq lists it as uncharacterized. The record is from RefSeq and is a predicted model, not a curated record. The transcript has 2 exons. NCBI's taxonomy places the organism in Eukaryota, Metazoa, Chordata, Actinopteri, Characiformes, Acestrorhamphidae.
AUCUGCGCCCACAAGGCCGAUUUUUAAUGAAUGCUCAAAGCUCUGCUGAGGGGCAGCACUGUGUGCUGUUCUGCAGUGGAGUAAUUAGAGCUCCCCCUAAUGUCCAUUCCACCAUCCUACUGAAACAGCAGAGGAGCUGAGGAGCUCAGUUCCCCAGAACCUGCAGAGCUUCAGGCACAGCUGCAGAUAAUGGCUUCACUUCAGCUUCGACUGGAUUCAAACUGGACAAAUGACAGCAACACUCCCCUGGAUAUCAUCAAGAUGUACUUUUCAGAGGAUGCUGUGGCAGCCUGCUCAAGGAAUAAACUGGACUAUUUACACUGGAAAGAACUACUUUCCCACAGGCCAGAUUCUCUUAUUACUCUGUAAUAUUACUGACUGUCUGAGGUAGGAUAGUAUUGUUGUAAUUUUUAUAUGUUAGUAUUUUGCCAAUAUUCUGUGUGUGUUUUAAAUAAACUGUAAAAGAGUU